RNAcentral lists this ribosomal RNA (257 nucleotides) under uncultured bacterium. Its description in RNAcentral is "partial 16S ribosomal RNA". It matches the Rfam family "Bacterial small subunit ribosomal RNA", at positions 793 to 1055 of the family's 1533-position model. The record is from RNAcentral.
GUCCAUGCUGUAAACGAUGAGGACUCGCUGUUGGGCUGUCACGGUCCAGCGGCUUAGGGAACCGUUAAGUCCUCCACCUGGGGAGUACGCCGGCAACGGUGAAACUCAAAGGAAUUGACGGGGUCCGCACAAGCGGUGGAGCAUGUGGUUUAAUUCGAUGAUACGCGAGGAACCUUACCUGGGCUAAAUCAGACAGGAAUCAUUCAGAAAUGGGUGAGCCAGCAAUGGCUUGUUUGAAGGUGCUGCAUGGCUGUCGU